RNAcentral lists this ribosomal RNA (253 nucleotides) under uncultured bacterium. Its description in RNAcentral is "partial 16S ribosomal RNA". It matches the Rfam family "Bacterial small subunit ribosomal RNA", at positions 524 to 776 of the family's 1533-position model. The record is from RNAcentral.
UACGUAGGGUGCAAGCGUUAAUCGGAAUUACUGGGCGUAAAGCGUGCGCAGGCGGCUUUGCAAGACAGAUGUGAAAUCCCCGGGCUCAACCUGGGAACUGCAUUCGUGACUGGCAGGCUAGAGUAUGGCAGAGGGGGGUGGAAUUCCACGUGUAGCAGUGAAAUGCGUAGAGAUGUGGAGGAACACCGAUGGCGAAGGCAGCCCCCUGGGCCAAUACUGACGCUCAUGCACGAAAGCGUGGGGAGCAAACAGG